UCCUUUCUAGCUUAUAUUUUUAAAGCGUUGGUUUGAAGAGCCGAAGUAACAGUUUUGUGGUGGGAG
Molecule: transfer RNA, 66 nt
Filed under: Tracheophilus cymbius
Lineage: Eukaryota; Metazoa; Platyhelminthes; Trematoda; Plagiorchiida; Cyclocoelidae
Description: tRNA-Phe
Source: RNAcentral